This 465-nucleotide ribosomal RNA is filed under the name uncultured bacterium. RNAcentral's name for it is "partial 16S ribosomal RNA". It matches the Rfam family "Bacterial small subunit ribosomal RNA", at positions 28 to 507 of the family's 1533-position model. The record is from RNAcentral.
GACGAACGCUGGCGGCGUGCUUAACACAUGCAAGUCGAACGGAAAGGCCCCUUUGGGGGUACUCGAGUGGCGAACGGGUGCGUAACACGUGCGUAACCUGCCCUUGACUUCGGGAUAACUUCAGGAAACUGGGGCUAAUACUGGUUCGGAAUCCUUGCUGCAUGGUGGGGGUUGGAAAGCUUCGGCGGUUUUGGCUGGACUCGCGGCUUAUCCGCUUGUUGGUGGGGUAGUGGCUUACCAAGGCUUUGACGGGUAGCCGGCCUGAGAGGGGGACCGGCCACAUUGGGACUGAGAGACGGCCCAGACUCCUACGGGAGGCAGCAGUGGGGAAUAUUGCACAAUGGGCGGAAGCCUGAGGCAGCAGCGCCGCGUGCGGGAUGACGGCCUGCUGGUGGUAAACCGCUGUCAGCAGGGGCGAAGCUUGUGGUGACGGUACCUGCAGAAGAAGCACCGGCUAACUACGUG